This is a long non-coding RNA of Zootermopsis nevadensis, 1168 nucleotides long. RefSeq lists it as uncharacterized. Lineage: Eukaryota; Metazoa; Arthropoda; Insecta; Blattodea; Termopsidae. The record is from RefSeq and is a predicted model, not a curated record.
CGUGUCAUCUCACGCAGACCUGACUGGCACUGGUGAUUAUUGGCGUCAUUUUCUUAACAAACUAAUCUGGCAUUUGUCAUAACUGAAAACUUCAUGGUUGAUGUACUUAUAAUGUACAUUUUUUACAGUUAUUUAUAUUUUAUAGAAAACAAAAUGGCUAAAAUGAGGGUUAUGCAUUGCAUAUGAAGUAGGCAGGUUUUAGCAAUCUAAAUCGAAGGCAGAAUGACUUGGCGAGCUCUCACAAAUAAUGGUAGAAUAAUGCAUCUUCUUCUAUGUCCAAUAGGUCCUGUAAUUAAAUUUAAAUUAAGCUGAAUUCAGUAAUGACUAAUUCAGAUCUAUGUGUAGAGUGCAAAUUCAUGUUUAUAAAAACUUUGAUCAUGUAUUGCAUGCUGCUGUCAUAGUAUGAUUUCAUUAGGAACAGAAUGAAAUGUGACAAAAACAUCACAGUAUUUUUGUUUGCUUCCAUAUCUGCUUCGUUUCCAUAUUAGCUACAUUUAAAUUCAUUUAUCAAAAAUUAGUUAUGCACCAACAUAAUAUUCUCUUGGCCUUAUAUUAAGACAGACAUCUGUGCCCCUUUUGCUAAUUAAUCUCAAAUAGUCUACCUUAUGUUUAAUACCACAUGCAGUUAAUAACACUCCAUUCAAUGGAAGCACUUCUCAGGACUGUAGAUACUUCAGAUAACCUAGACUUUUAACUAAGUUUUGUUCAGUGAUGGAAGAUUUUGUUGAGUUCUUUCUUUGAGGUUCUCACAGCAGCAUGGCAGUGUUGUUUCGUGUUGUGAUGCAGUGCAGACUUAUAUGGAAUUUUUAGACAAAAGUUACUAUAAUCAGAUGGACAGGCCUCCCACAACUUCAUGGUUAACCAACAAUAUUCUACAACAAAGGUUACAUAACACAACUUAAACAUCCCCCUAGGGAUGAUUUAGAAUGCAGUGGCAUAAAAACGGUGGAUCUAAACUGAAGUUUGACAUGAGAUGACUACUAAUAUACACUGUGUACUUUCAAUUAUUUAUGUUUUAUUGGUUUCCUCAAAGCGGUGUUAACAUACUAGCAUGUAUUAAUCAACAAAAUUAUAAAAAAAUUAGGAUAGAUUAUUCACCGUCACUUAUUAAGGUAGAUGUGAUGUAGAUGAAAUCAAUGAUGAUUAAAUUCAAUUUAAUGCUUAUAAA